AGAGUUUGAUCCUGGCUCAGGAUGAACGCUGGCGGCGUGCUUAACACAUGCAAGUCGAGCGAAGCGCUCACGCGGAAUUUUUCGGAAGGAAGCGGGAGUGACUUAGCGGCGGACGGGUGAGUAACGCGUGGGUAACCUGCCCCAUACCGGGGGAUAACGGUAAGAAAUGACCGCUAAUACCGCUUAAGCGCGCGAGGCCGCAUGGCCGCGCGCGAAAAACUCCGGUGGUAUGGGAUGGGCCCGCGUCUGAUUAGGUAGUUGGCGGGGUAAGGGCCCACCAAGCCGACGAUCAGUAGCCGACCUGAGAGGGUGGCCGGCCACAUUGGGACUGAGACACGGCCCAAACUCCUACGGGAGGCAGCAGUGGGGAAUAUUGCGCAAUGGGGGAAACCCUGACGCAGCAACGCCGCGUGAGUGAGGAAGUAUCUCGGUAUGUAAAGCUCUAUCAGCGGGGAAGAAAGAGGACGGUACCCGACUAAGAAGCCCCGGCUAACUACGUGCCAGCAGCCGCGGUAAUACGUAGGGGGCGAGCGUUAUCCGGAUUUACUGGGUGUAAAGGGAGCGUAGACGGCGUCGCAAGUCUGAAGUGAAAGCCCGUGGCUCAACCGCGGAACCGCUUUGGAAACUGCGAGGCUGGAGUGCUGGAGAGGUAAGCGGAAUUCCUGGUGUAGCGGUGAAAUGCGUAGAUAUCAGGAGGAACACCGGUGGCGAAGGCGGCUUACUGGACAGUGACUGACGUUGAGGCUCGAAAGCGUGGGGAGCGAACAGGAUUAGAUACCCUGGUAGUCCACGCGGUAAACGAU
This 803-nucleotide ribosomal RNA is filed under the name uncultured bacterium. RNAcentral describes it as "bacterial SSU rRNA". It matches the Rfam family "Bacterial small subunit ribosomal RNA", at positions 8 to 810 of the family's 1533-position model. The record is from RNAcentral.